GAUAUUCACAAGACCAGAGCCUUCCCUGCACUGACAGAACAUCAAGGCAAUUGGAGGUGUCUGUUCCCUUGGAGCUUCAUAGCAGAUUGCAUUUACUGCUUUUAACUUGGCCAGCACAACCUUGGCAAAUGCCGCUUGAAGUUGCAGCUUCUCUGACUCCCCAAAUGUUUUAAUGUUAAUUAUUUCAGUGCCUACAUGUUCUGUUCAGUAUUACCAGGUUGUCAAAUUGCCAUAAGGAAAUGGCACUGGACUAUGACCACUGAUCUUCUGUCCAUAGGUAUGAAUUAAUUUGCAUUAUAGAGCAACUGAAAUUAAUUUUCAUGAUAAAGCACAAACUUUAUGCUGAAAGGAGAUUUCUACACACUGCAUCUAGCCUGUUCACAGUGAUGCAGGGUUUAUGCAUGCAUGGGAAGGGACAAACUACUGCAUGUCUUGGGGUGAUCUGAGAGAAGCAGUAGCAGACAUUUUAGUCAGCAAAGACCAAUGAUGAAGGGAGAUGGAACUGACAAAUGAGUGAUCUGAUAAUAUAAAAUGCUGGAAGAUUGGAAAAACAACAAUGCUUAGGAACUUUUCAUGCACACGCUAUUGAAAUAUACCAGACUAGCUUGGAUGGCUCGGAAGUAAGAUGAAGCUUUAUUUACAGGAAAGCAAAAUUUAUAAGCAUAUCUAUAUACAAUAAUUACAGUUACAUACAAAUCAGAAAUAAUACAGAAAUCCAAACUCUCUGCCAGACAGAUAAAGCUGCCCAGAAGGGCUCAAAGCUACCUUUUCUUUCUCCCCCUACUUUCCCAGACAGACAAACAAACAGCAAAGCUGAUGUUUUCUGUGUUAGUCAAGGUUUGUAGAGAGAUACUAGAGUGGAGUGAGGGAGGAAGUGAAUAGGAGCAGCACUGCAGAACCAAGUGGGACAAAUUGUUGACAUUUUAACUUUCUAUCCCCCUCAGCAAGCCAAUAAAUGAUUUUCUUUUUACGACCAGUGAUCUGAUUUCUCCCAUUAAAAUAUUCCAGUUAGCAUCAAACCAACACAAAUAUCUUCAUUAAAAAAAAACCAACAAACCAACAAAGAUGAGUUACUUAUAAGGGAACGGUGCACAGCCCUAGUGGUGGACACCAAUCUCCGUCUUUGACAUUUCCAGGUAACUAGGAAGGAAACUGAGGAAAGAGUUUCUGGUAAGGAGUGGAAAAAAUUUACUUUAGUAAAUCUGGAAAAGUUGUGAACACCCAGUUAUUCAGUGUCCAUAUGCAGUACCUUUCUCCAGCUGCUAAAAGUGAGGAAAAGUAGGAAAGUGUUCAAAAGAUUCACUGGCAAUUAGAAGGGAAAUAUCCACUGUGCUGUGUCUGUUUCCCUUUGCCACUUCCACUUAAUGAAUGUCCUUAGAAUAUCAGCUCUGCUACUGAGCCAAAGCAAAUUCUGCACUAUGUUGGUUAGUUAUGUGUGCCCUGCAGACAGAGAACAAAAGUGCUAAUGCAUGAUUUAUGUAUCAAAGCAGCACAGUAACUGUAGUUAAGAUGCACAGUGUGCCUGUUGAAUACAAGACUGCAUCUCCAUAGACUGAA
Long non-coding RNA from Pogoniulus pusillus (Red-fronted tinkerbird), 1557 nucleotides. RefSeq lists it as uncharacterized. The transcript is spliced from 2 exons. NCBI's taxonomy places the organism in Eukaryota, Metazoa, Chordata, Aves, Piciformes, Lybiidae. The record is from RefSeq and is a predicted model, not a curated record.